AUUGAACGCUGGCGGCAUGCCUUACACAUGCAAGUCGAACGGCAGCACGGGUGCUUGCACCUGGUGGCGAGUGGCGAACGGGUGAGUAAUACAUCGGAACGUACCUUAUCGUGGGGGAUAACGCAGCGAAAGUUGCGCUAAUACCGCAUCCGCCCUGAGGGGGAAGGCGGGGGACCGUAAGGCCUCGCGCGCGUAGCGCGGCGGAUGUCUGAUUAGCUUGUUGGUGAGGUAAAAGCUCACCAAGGCGAUGAUCAGUAGCUGGUCGGAGAGGACGAUCAGCCACACUGGGACUGAGACACGGCCCAGACUCCUACGGGAGGCAACAGUGGGGAAUUUUGGACAAUGGGGGCAACCCUGAUCCAGCAAUGCCGCGUGAGUGAAGAAGGCCUUCGGGUUGUAAAGCUCUUUUGUCAGGGAAGAAACAGCAGCUCUAACACAGUCUGCGAAUGACGGUACCUGAAGAAUAAGCACCGGCUAACUACGUGCCAGCAGCCGCCGCGG
RNAcentral lists this ribosomal RNA (501 nucleotides) under uncultured bacterium. Its description in RNAcentral is "partial 16S ribosomal RNA". It matches the Rfam family "Bacterial small subunit ribosomal RNA", at positions 29 to 523 of the family's 1533-position model. The record is from RNAcentral.